CGGGAAGUGGCGCAGCCUGGUAGCGCACGUCGUUCGGGACGACGGGGUCGGAGGUUCGAAUCCUCUCUUCCCGACCA
This 77-nucleotide transfer RNA is filed under the name Rhodospirillaceae bacterium. Its description in RNAcentral is "tRNA-Pro". It matches the Rfam family "tRNA". Rfam says of the family: Transfer RNA (tRNA) molecules are approximately 80 nucleotides in length. Their secondary structure includes four short double-helical elements and three loops (D, anti-codon, and T loops). Further hydrogen bonds mediate the characteristic L-shaped molecular structure. tRNAs have two regions of fundamental functional importance: the anti-codon, which is responsible for specific mRNA codon recognition, and the 3' end, to which the tRNAs corresponding amino acid is attached (by aminoacyl-tRNA synthetases). tRNAs cope with the degeneracy of the genetic code in two manners: having more than one tRNA (with a specific anti-codon) for a particular amino acid; and 'wobble' base-pairing, i.e. permitting non-standard base-pairing at the 3rd anti-codon position. The record is from RNAcentral. Lineage: Bacteria; Pseudomonadati; Pseudomonadota; Alphaproteobacteria; Rhodospirillales; Rhodospirillaceae. RNAcentral also lists the same sequence under 1 other name.